RNAcentral lists this non-coding RNA (187 nucleotides) under Gammaproteobacteria bacterium. Its description in RNAcentral is "6S RNA". It matches the Rfam family "6S / SsrS RNA". From Rfam's summary of the family: E. coli 6S RNA was the first non coding RNA to be sequenced, but its function was unknown until recently. It consists of 184 nucleotides that fold into an extended hairpin structure with a large single-stranded internal bulge. The record is from RNAcentral. Lineage: Bacteria; Pseudomonadati; Pseudomonadota; Gammaproteobacteria.
CGUCGCCUGCGGUGUUCGAUGUGGACCUGGGUACCUCUCGACCCUAAUGUGAAAGACCCAGGAGCGUGGUCCAGCGGCAGCAUUGUGCAGGUCCGCCUCGCAGCGGAAAGCCUUAAGUGCCGCAACCUGCUCCACCUGUUGCUCCGGAUCGAGAGCAGCGGUCCGCAACGGCACAGGCGGGUGACGC